GACGAACGCUGGCGGCGUGCUUAACACAUGCAAGUCGAACGGAAAGGCCCUGCUUUUGUGGGGUGCUCGAGUGGCGAACGGGUGAGUAACACGUGAGUAACCUGCCCUUGACUUUGGGAUAACUUCAUGAAACUGGGGCUAAUACCGGAUAGGAGCUCCUGCUGCAUGGUGGGGGUUGGAAAGUUUCGGCGGUUGGGGAUGGACUCGCGGCUUAUCAGCUUGUUGGUGGGGUAGUGGCUUACCAAGGCUUUGACGGGUAGCCGGCCUGAGAGGGUGACCGGCCACAUUGGGACUGAGAUACGGCCCAGACUCCUACGGGAGGCGGCAGUGGGGAAUAUUGCACAAUGGGCGGAAGCCUGAUGCAGCAACGCCGCGUGCGGGAUGACGGCCUUCGGGUUGUAAACCGCUUUCGCCUGUGACGAAGCGUGAGUGACGGUAAUGGGUAAAGAAGCACCGGCUAACUACGUG
Molecule: ribosomal RNA, 468 nt
Filed under: uncultured bacterium
Lineage: Bacteria
Description: partial 16S ribosomal RNA
Rfam family: Bacterial small subunit ribosomal RNA
Source: RNAcentral